GCCUGGGGGGCUCAGUCGGUUGAGCGUCCGACUUCGGCUCAGGUCAUGAUCUCACGGUUCGUGAGUUCCAACCUCACGUCGGGCU
Non-coding RNA from Felis catus (domestic cat), 85 nucleotides. Lineage: Eukaryota; Metazoa; Chordata; Mammalia; Carnivora; Felidae. The record is from Rfam.